CUACGGGGGGCUCCAGUGGGGAAUAUUGCACAAUGGGGGAAACCCUGAUGCAGCAACGCCGCGUGGAGGAUGACGCAUUUCGGUGUGUAAACUCCUUUUAUAUAGGAAGAUAAUGACGGUACUAUAUGAAUAAGCACCGGCUAACCCCGUGCCAGCAGCCGCGGUAAUACGGAGGGUGCAAGCGUUACUCGGAAUCACUGGGCGUAAAGCGCGCGCAGGCGGCCUUUUAAGUUGGAUGUGAAAGCCUAUGGCUUAACCAUAGAACUGCAUCCAAAACUAUCAGGCUAGAGUCUGGGAGGGGAAGAUGGAAUUAGUUGUGUAGGGGUAAAAUCCGUAGAGAUAACUAGGAAUACCAAAAGCGAAGGCGAUCUUCUGGAACAGUACUGACGCUGAGGCGCGAAAGCGCGGGGAGCAAACAGGAUUAGAUACCCUGGUAGUC
This 439-nucleotide ribosomal RNA is filed under the name uncultured bacterium. Its description in RNAcentral is "partial 16S ribosomal RNA". It matches the Rfam family "Bacterial small subunit ribosomal RNA", at positions 339 to 795 of the family's 1533-position model. The record is from RNAcentral.